Molecule: ribosomal RNA, 435 nt
Filed under: uncultured bacterium
Lineage: Bacteria
Description: bacterial SSU rRNA
Rfam family: Bacterial small subunit ribosomal RNA
Source: RNAcentral
CAGGCCUAACACAUGCAAGUCGAACGAUGCUUUCGGGCAUAGUGGCGCACGGGUGCGUAACGCGUGGGAAUCUGCCCUGGGGUCUGGGAUAACCGUUGGAAACGACGGCUAAUACCGGAUGAUGAUGAAAAUCCAAAGAUUUAUCGCCCUGGGAUGAGCCCGCGUCCGAUUAGGUAGUUGGUGGGGUAAGAGCCUACCAAGCCGACGAUCGGUAGCUGGUCUGAGAGGAUGAUCAGCCACACUGGGACUGAGACACGGCCCAGACUCCUACGGGAGGCAGCAGUGGGGAAUAUUGGACAAUGGGCGAAAGCCUGAUCCAGCAAUGCCGCGUGAGUGAUGAAGGCCUUAGGGUUGUAAAGCUCUUUUACCCGGGAUGAUAAUGACAGUACCGGGAGAAUAAGCUCCGGCUAACUCCGUGCCAGCAGCCGCGGUAAU